GUGAGGAAUAUUGGACAAUGGAUGGAAAUCUGAUCCAGCCAUGCCGCGUGCAGGAAGACGGCCCUAUGGGUUGUAAACUGCUUUUAUACGGGAGCAAUAAGGUCUAUGCAUAGAUUGAUGAGAGUACCGUAUGAAUAAGCAUCGGCUAACUCCGUGCCAGCAGCCGCGGUAAUACGGAGGAUGCGAGCGUUAUCCGGAUUUAUUGGGUUUAAAGGGUGCGUAGGCGGCUUUGUAAGUCAGCGGUGAAAUUUUGCAGCUUAACUGUAAAAGCGCCGUUGAUACUGUGAAGCUAGGAUUUGGUUGCUGUGGGCAGAAUGUGUGGUGUAGCGGUGAAAUGCAUAGAGAUCACACAGAAUAUCGAUUGCGAAGGCAGCUCACAAAGCCAAUAUUGACGCUGAGGCACGAAAGUGUGGGGAUCAAACAGGAUUAGAUACCCUUGUAGUCC
This 445-nucleotide ribosomal RNA is filed under the name uncultured bacterium. RNAcentral's name for it is "partial 16S ribosomal RNA". It matches the Rfam family "Bacterial small subunit ribosomal RNA", at positions 354 to 796 of the family's 1533-position model. The record is from RNAcentral.